GAGCAUUACACCGGGAGUAGGCGCUGGACACAGAAGCCCACAGCGUGGGACCCCGUGUCCCCGACCCGCGCGGAGCUUGAAGAUCCGCAGGGACGGAGACUGGAGGCUGCUGGGGCUCCGGAGGGGCAGAGGGGUCAGGAGCGGCUGCGGUGGGUAACAGCUCUCCUUCCAGGCGAUGAAAACGUCCUGGCAAAUGUCUCCCGCGUGGCCGUCACCAGUGGUCAGUGCCUCUGGCUGCGCAGCCACCCCAGGGCCCCUCAAAGAUCUUCCCUACCCUCCUCGCAGGAUCUGCUCCCUGCCGAUGGCCAUGGCGAGGAGCUGGCUGGGGGAAAUGAAUGGGGCCUGAGAAUUACAAGCUCCCAGGAUGGCGUGAGGACCCCGUACGGAGAACUUCUCUUGCGCUCCCGUGAGAUGUGGACGGCAUUAAAGAAGAGUGACCGUCUGGGAAAGCUGCUAUCGCAAGUGAGCUCGCGGUUCUCAGAUGCAGCGUGUGUUUUAGUUUUGCUUUCACCCGCUUCUUCUCUUUGUCCAUGUUUGCUCCGCAGAGCUGGUUUCUCCACACCCAUUCACCCUGCCCUUUUCAAAGAAACUUUUGCUUUGUCUCGUCUAAUUCUUUAUUCAAGGCAAGAAGGACCUGGAAUACUUCUGAUUGUCGCGCCACUUCUAAAGAAACUACCUGAUAAAACACUGGCUCCAACACAGGAAGCAGGGCAGAGGGGCCUGGGCCAGGAAGCAGACAGAGAAGGGAGGACCCGGACAGUGUUUCCAGGCCACACCCCCAGGGUCUGUCUCUUCCGGCCAGGCCCCUCCUCCUAACAUCACAUUUAGCUCCAGGGAUCAGGCACCUAACAAAAGCCCUGCUGCUGAGCUCCUCAGGCUCUUGGGGGACAUCUGGAUGUUAACCAGAACACCUCUUUUCCUAGCCCUCACCUUUGCCAGAAGCCCAAGUCAUGCUGGGCAGCAUCAGUCCCUGGACCUGCCCUGCUGCCGGUCCUCUGCAGGGUCUUGGUUCUGAUGCCACAUGCCAGAGACUCCUGUGGCCUCCGUUGGAACCAUGUGGACCACCCGCGUGCGCCUAUAUUUGCUUCUGGUUUUAUGGAGCGAACAUUUAUGGGUCACCUCAUGCUGGGCCAAGUCCGACUCCACUGCUUUACUCUGUCUGCUUUUCCCACUACGUCCCAACCCCGAAAGAGGCUGGAGCCUGUCUCCUUCUCCUCAACAACUCUGUGACAUUUCACAGUCGAAUAAAGACAGCCAGCCCGUACUCUAUCAAUUUGGAGGGGUCGCGGAGGAAAUGAUUUUUUGUUGUUGUUUUGUGUUUUUUUGAGACAGUGUCUCGCUUCGUAGUUCAGGCUGUCCAUGAACUCACUAUGUAGCCCAGGCUUGGUCUGGAACUCAGGCAGUUGUUAUGGCUUGUGCCUGGAUGUACCCCUGAAGCCUCAUCGGUCAUGGGGGGGUGGGCUUUUUGGAGGUGGCUGAAUCUAGAGUUUGUGAUUGGUUUAUUGUCUAGUGCUGAGGUUGGGAGUGUGUGUGCACUCUUGGAUUAUUCCCUUAACAAGAAUGUAGUGAACUUUUUUUGUGUCUCUUGAUUUGUCUUGGCUUGAAAUCCACUUUGUCUGCAAAAAGAAUAGCCACCCCUGCUUUUUUCUGGGUUCCUGUCCCAUGGAGUAUUGUUUUCCUUCCUUGGACUUUCAGUCUGUGAACUUCUGUUUGUUCUUUAUUUUUGUUUUGUUGUUUUUCUUCUGGUACCAGGAAUCAAACUCACAACCUUGCAUUUGCCAGGCAGGCGCUGAGCUAAAUCCCCAGCCCCUUCUUUUUUAAUUGUGUUUCUUGUAUGCAGCAUAUUGUUGUAUCUUACUUCUUGAUCCAUUUUGCCAGUCUCUUUCUUUUGGUUGGUGAAUUGAGACUAUUAGCAAAAU
Molecule: long non-coding RNA, 1919 nt
Filed under: Chinchilla lanigera (long-tailed chinchilla)
Lineage: Eukaryota; Metazoa; Chordata; Mammalia; Rodentia; Chinchillidae
Description: lncRNA (ENSCLAG00000028238.1)
Source: RNAcentral